This 232-nucleotide long non-coding RNA is filed under the name Elaeis guineensis (African oil palm). RNAcentral describes it as "long non-coding RNA (EGUI_LNC021776)". The record is from RNAcentral. Lineage: Eukaryota; Viridiplantae; Streptophyta; Magnoliopsida; Arecales; Arecaceae.
UGGCUUUAAUACUUGCUCAAAGUGGUUAUAUCAUGGUGGGAAAUAUUGUUUUAUGGGCCAUCAUUGAUUUUUAGCUUUUGAUCAUCAAUUUAGAUGUGAUAGACAUAAUUUUGAUGGCAAUCAAGAAUGGAGAGUAGCUCCAAAUCUACCAACUGGUUCUGUUAUUUUGGGGCAACUGGAUGGUGAAAUAAUUCCCAUAGAUGCAGAUGGUGAAAUUGCUAUAGUGAAUCAA